Oncorhynchus keta (chum salmon) is the source of this 801-nucleotide long non-coding RNA. RefSeq lists it as uncharacterized. Lineage: Eukaryota; Metazoa; Chordata; Actinopteri; Salmoniformes; Salmonidae. The record is from RefSeq and is a predicted model, not a curated record. The transcript is spliced from 3 exons.
ACUUUUCUUUACUGUACUGUAAUGUACUUUACUGUACUGUCCAAACUUGUGAAACAUAGACGCCUAUAAUUGGUUCCGAUUUGGUCCAUGAUUGGGCAAAAUAUAGGCCGGCCCGGACGUCUGUGGACGUUCAGGUCAAGGCUGGUCCAGACCGGACCAAAUCUGAACCAAACAUAGGUGUCUAAAUCAAGGCCGGUCCGGACCGGACCAAAUCUGAACCAAACAUAGGUGUCUAAAUCAAGGCCGAUCCGGACCGGACCAAAUCUGAACCAAACAUAGGUGUCUAAAUCAAGGCCGAUCCGGACCGGACCAAAUCUGAACCAAACAUAGGUGUCUAAAUCAAGGCCGGUCCGGACCGGACCAAAUCUGAACCAAACAUAGGUGUCUAAAUCAAGGCCGGUCCGGACCGGACCAAAUCUGAACCAAACAUAGGUGUCUAAAUCAAGGCCGAUCCGGACUGGACCAAAUCUGAACCAAACAUAGGUGUCUAAAUCAAGGCCGGUCCGGACCGGACCAAAUCUGAACCAAACAUAGGUGUCUAAAUCAAGGCCGGUCCGGACUGGACCAAAUCUGAACUAAACAUAGGUGUCUAAAUCAAGGCCGGUCCGGACUGGACCAAAUCUGAACUAAACAUAGGUGUCUAAAUCAAGGCCGAUCCGGACUGCACCAUAAAAAUAAAGAAACAAAGACGUCCAAAAGACUUAGCGAUCAAUUAGUUUUUCUGACAUUCUGUCCACAGAAGAGGACACACAGUCCAUGACUGGACUUCACUGUAAUUGUCUAUGCAUAUCUCAGAAACUG